Molecule: long non-coding RNA, 375 nt
Organism: Drosophila santomea
Lineage: Eukaryota; Metazoa; Arthropoda; Insecta; Diptera; Drosophilidae
Exons: 3
Source: RefSeq, a predicted model, not a curated record
GAUAAUCGAUUGCUACACGACUCUCAUUUAGUGUCAAAAAGUUCCUGGAGUAACAAGUACAAAGUGAAUUAAGUAAAAUAAUUGAAGAAUAAAGUGAAAAUUUACACACAUCAGAUAGUGAGCUUACAACGGCAUUAUAAUAAUUCGGCAGGGUGUGUGUGUUCCCUUUUCUGCAGGUUAAAAAUCGACUUCUGGGAAAUACGCCCAGAGAAUGAGCAUGCAUUGGUUUUUAAAUAGGACGACCUGAAGCGCAGUGUUUCCUUUUUACGAUAGGAAGAUUAAAAACCAUCUCAGCAGGCAACAGCUUACCAAAGCAAAGUCGGCAAUAAAUUAAGAUGCCCAGGACUUUUUAUUUGUUAUUUUGCUUGACAGCGC